ACCGGCGCACGGGUGAGUAACACGUAUGCAACCUGUCCGGUACAGGGGGAUAAGCGGCGGAAACGCCGUCUAAUACCGCGUGACAACCCGAGGGGGCAUCCCCUUGGGUUCAAAGGAGAGAUCCGGUACCGGCUGGGCAUGCGGCGCAUUAGCUAGUUGGCGGGGCAACGGCCCACCAAGGCGACGAUGCGUAGGGGUUCUGAGAGGAAGGUCCCCCACACUGGAACUGAGACACGGUCCAGACUCCUACGGGAGGCAGCAGUGAGGAAUAUUGGUCAAUGGGCGCAAGCCUGAACCAGCCAAGUCGCGUGAGGGAAGACGGCCCUACGGGUUGUAAACCUCUUUUGCCGGGGAGCAAGCCUGAGCACGUGUGCCCAGGCGGAGAGUACCCGGAGAAAAAGCAUCGGCUAACUCCGUGCCAGCAGCCGCGGUAAUACGGAGGAUGCGAGCGUUAUCCGGAUUUAUUGGGUUUAAAGGGUGCGCAGGCGGGCUGUUAAGCCGGCGGUAAAAAUUCAGGGCUCAACCCUGUCGAGCCGUCGGAACUGGCAGUCUUGAGUGGGCGAGAAGUAUGCGGAAUGCGUGGUGUAGCGGUGAAAUGCGUAGAUAUCACGCANAACGCCGAUUGCGAAGGCAGCAUACCGGCGCCCAACUGACGCUGAGGCACGAAAGCGUGGGGAUCGAACAGGAUUAGAUACCCUGGUA
This 702-nucleotide ribosomal RNA is filed under the name uncultured bacterium. RNAcentral describes it as "bacterial SSU rRNA". It matches the Rfam family "Bacterial small subunit ribosomal RNA", at positions 94 to 792 of the family's 1533-position model. The record is from RNAcentral.